This 1346-nucleotide ribosomal RNA is filed under the name uncultured bacterium. RNAcentral describes it as "partial 16S ribosomal RNA". It matches the Rfam family "Bacterial small subunit ribosomal RNA", at positions 28 to 1381 of the family's 1533-position model. The record is from RNAcentral.
GACGAACGCUGGCGGCGUGCUUAACACAUGCAAGUCGAACGGAAAGGCCCUGCUUUUGUGGGGUGCUCGAGUGGCGAACGGGUGAGUAACACGUGAGUAACCUGCCCUUGACUUUGGGAUAACUUCAGGAAACUGGGGCUAAUACCGGAUAGGAGCUCCUGCUGCAUGGUGGGGGUUGGAAAGUUUCGGCGGUUGGGGAUGGACUCGCGGCUUAUCAGCUUGUUGGUGGGGUAGUGGCUUACCAAGGCUUUGACGGGUAGCCGGCCUGAGAGGGUGACCGGCCACAUUGGGACUGAGAUACGGCCCAGACUCCUACGGGAGGCAGCAGUGGGGAAUAUUGCACAAUGGGCGGAAGCCUGAUGCAGCAACGCCGCGUGCGGGAUGACGGCCUUCGGGUUGUAAACCGCUUUCGCCUGUGACGAAGCGUGAGUGACGGUAAUGGGUAAAGAAGCACCGGCUAACUACGUGCCAGCAGCCGCGGUGAUACGUAGGGUGCGAGCGUUGUCCGGAUUUAUUGGGCGUAAAGGGCUCGUAGGUGGUUGAUCGCGUCGGAAGUGUAAUCUUGGGGCUUAACCCUGAGCGUGCUUUCGAUACGGGUUGACUUGAGGAAGGUAGGGGAGAAUGGAAUUCCUGGUGGAGCGGUGGAAUGCGCAGAUAUCAGGAGGAACACCAGUGGCGAAGGCGGUUCUCUGGGCCUUUCCUGACGCUGAGGAGCGAAAGCGUGGGGAGCGAACAGGCUUAGAUACCCUGGUAGUCCACGCUGUAAACGGUGGGUACUAGGUGUGGGGUCCAUUCCACGGGUUCCGUGCCGUAGCUAACGCUUUAAGUACCCCGCCUGGGGAGUACGGCCGCAAGGCUAAAACUCAAAGGAAUUGACGGGGCCCCGCACAAGCGGCGGAGCAUGCGGAUUAAUUCGAUGCAACGCGUAGAACCUUACCUGGGUUUGACAUGGAUCGGGAGUGCUCAGAGAUGGGUGUGCCUCUUUUGGGGUCGGUUCACAGGUGGUGCAUGGCUGUCGUCAGCUCGUGUCGUGAGAUGUUGGGUUAAGUCCCGCAACGAGCGCAACCCUUGUUCACUGUUGCCAGCACGUUAUGGUGGGGACUCAGUGGAGACCGCCGGGGUCAACUCGGAGGAAGGUGGGGAUGACGUCAAGUCAUCAUGCCCCUUAUGUCCAGGGCUUCACGCAUGCUACAAUGGCUGGUACAGAGAGUGGCGAGCCUGUGAGGGUGAGCGAAUCUCGGAAAGCCGGUCUCAGUUCGGAUUGGGGUCAGCAACUCGACCUCAUGAAGUCGGAGUCGCUAGUAAUCGCAGAUCAGCAACGCUGCGGUGAAUACGUUCCCGGGGCU